GUAUGCUGGAGGUAUCAGAAGUGCGAAUGCUGACAUAAGUAACGAUAAAGCGGGUGAAAAGCCCGCUCGCCGGAAGACCAAGGGUUCCUGUCCAACGUUAAUCGGGGCAGGGUGAGUCGACCCCUAAGGCGAGGCCGAAAGGCGUAGUCGAUGGGAAACAGGUUAAUAUUCCUGUACUUGGUGUUACUGCGAAGGGGGGACGGAGAAGGCUAUGUUGGCCGGGCGACGGUUGUCCCGGUUUAAGCGUGUAGGCUGGUUUUCCAGGCAAAUCCGGAAAAUCAAGGCUGAGGCGUGAUGACGAGGCACUACGGUGCUGAAGCAACAAAUGCCCUGCUUCCAGGAAAAGCCUCUAAGCAUCAGGUAACAUCAAAUCGUACCCCAAACCGACACAGGUGGUCAGGUAGAGAAUACCAAGGCGCUUGAGAGAACUCGGGUGAAGGAACUAGGCAAAAUGGUGCCGUAACUUCGGGAGAAGGCACGCUGAUAUGUAGGUGAAGCGACUUGCUCGUGGAGCUGAAAUCAGUCGAAGAUACCAGCUGGCUGCAACUGUUUAUUAAAAACACAGCACUGUGCAAACACGAAAGUGGACGUAUACGGUGUGACGCCUGCCCGGUGCCGGAAGGUUAAUUGAUGGGGUUAGCGCAAGCGAAGCUCUUGAUCGAAGCCCCGGUAAACGGCGGCCGUAACUAUAACGGUCCUAAGGUAGCGAAAUUCCUUGUCGGGUAAGUUCCGACCUGCACGAAUGGCGUAAUGAUGGCCAGGCUGUCUCCACCCGAGACUCAGUGAAAUUGAACUCGCUGUGAAGAUGCAGUGUACCCGCGGCAAGACGGAAAGACCCCGUGAACCUUUACUAUAGCUUGACACUGAACAUUGAGCCUUGAUGUGUAGGAUAGGUGGGAGGCUUUGAAGUGUGGACGCCAGUCUGCAUGGAGCCGACCUUGAAAUACCACCCUUUAAUGUUUGAUGUUCUAACGUUGACCCGUAAUCCGGGUUGCGGACAGUGUCUGGUGGGUAGUUUGACUGGGGCGGUCUCCUCCUAAAGAGUAACGGAGGAGCACGAAGGUUGGCUAAUCCUGGUCGGACAUCAGGAGGUUAGUGCAAUGGCAUAAGCCAGCUUGACUGCGAGCGUGACGGCGCGAGCAGGUGCGAAAGCAGGUCAUAGUGAUCCGGUGGUUCUGAAUGGAAGGGCCAUCGCUCAACGGAUAAAAGGUACUCCGGGGAUAACAGGCUGAUACCGCCCAAGAGUUCAUAUCGACGGCGGUGUUUGGCACCUCGAUGUCGGCUCAUCACAUCCUGGGGCUGAAGUAGGUCCCAAGGGUAUGGCUGUUCGCCAUUUAAAGUGGUACGCGAGCUGGGUUUAGAACGUCGUGAGACAGUUCGGUCCCUAUCUGCCGUGGGCGCUGGAGAACUGAGGGGGGCUGCUCCUAGUACGAGAGGACCGGAGUGGACGCAUCACUGGUGUUCGGGUUGUCAUGCCAAUGGCACUGCCCGGUAGCUAAAUGCGGAAGAGAUAAGUGCUGAAAGCAUCUAAGCACGAAACUUGCCCCGAGAUGAGUUCUCCCUGACCCUUUAAGGGUCCUGAAGGAACGUUGAAGACGACGACGUUGAUAGGCCGGGUGUGUAAGCGCAGCGAUGCGUUGAGCUAACCGGUACUAAUGAACCGUGAGGCUUAACCUUACAACGCCGAAG
This 1689-nucleotide ribosomal RNA is filed under the name Escherichia coli. RNAcentral describes it as "bacterial LSU rRNA". It matches the Rfam family "Bacterial large subunit ribosomal RNA", at positions 1268 to 2925 of the family's 2925-position model. The record is from RNAcentral. Lineage: Bacteria; Pseudomonadati; Pseudomonadota; Gammaproteobacteria; Enterobacterales; Enterobacteriaceae.